Molecule: long non-coding RNA, 28844 nt
Filed under: Nicotiana benthamiana
Lineage: Eukaryota; Viridiplantae; Streptophyta; Magnoliopsida; Solanales; Solanaceae
Description: long non-coding RNA (NBEN_LNC025833)
Source: RNAcentral
CAUAACACUGGCUGAAACCCUUUCUACUGUUAUGAUUUCCUGUAUACAAACAUAUUCAUAACAUGUUUCCUCAUUCUUGUUGGAUUCUUUGUGUUGUUAUUCUUUUGAUUUUCAUAUAGUGGCUAUGAACUAGAUUUUUCAUUUUGAUAUUGUUAUGUUUUCUUAUAUCUUCUUUUUUAGCAUUAGACAUGCUAAUUGAUAAAUCUUGGAUUAGCAAACCACGAAAUAACACUUAAAUACGCGGAUGAGCUUAGAAAAUUUCUGAAUUUUGCUUUUGAGUAUGGGUCUAUUGAUGGGCGUGUAAUUCAGUGUCUAUGUCCGAAAUGUGGUUUUAACAACUGGCAAAGAAGAAAUGUAGUUGAAGAAUACCUGACUUAUAAGCAUUUUCCAAAAAAUUAUAAAGUUUGGUAUUUGCAUGGUGAAGAAUCAAAUCCAACUAUGCCACAAACGUUUCAGAGCACAAAUGUCAUAGAAGAAACUCUGCAGCCCCAAGAUUCAAUGGUAACCAUGAUUAACGAUGCAUUUGGGUUCAUAGGGAACAAUGUCAAUGAGCCUGGUGUGUCUUGUGAGCGUAUGAAUAGUGAAGAAACAUUUAAUGAAUGGCAUAAUGAAGAAUAUCCAUAGUUCUAUGAGCUGGUAGAAGAUGGCAAUCGACCAUUAUAUGAAGGGUGCGUGAAGUAUUCCAAAUUGUCCUUUCUAGCCAAAUUGUAUCAUAUCAAGUGUUUGUGCCGAAUGACUGACAAAGCGAUGAGUAUGAUAUUAGAAUUGUUAAAAGAUGCCUAUGAAGAUGCCAAGAUUCCUAUUUCUUUUUAUGAGGCCAAGAAAACCAUCAACAAACGUGGCCUUAAUUAUACCAAGAUCCAUGCUUGCCUAAAUGAUUGUAUGUUAUAUUUUGGGGAGGAUGAAGGUUUAAAAACCAUCAACACUUGGUUUUAAUUAUACCAAGAUCCAUGCUUGCCCAAAUGAUUGUAUAUUUUGGGGAAGAUGAAGGCUUACAAGGAUGCAAAAAGUGCAAGACAUCUAGGUGGAAGGACAAUAAAAAGAAGAAACCCGCAAAGAUUUUACGCUAUUUUCCACUAAAGCCAAGGCUAUAGAGAUAGUCCAUGUGCUCUAAAACUGCUGAGUCAAUGAGAUGGCAUUCUACUGCGGGUAACCAAGAUGGAUUGAUGAGGCAUCCAAGGGAUUCUCAAGCAUGGAAAGCAUUUAGCUUGCUUUAUCCUGAAUUUGCUGUAGAUCCUCGGAAUGUACGACUAGGCCUAGCUAGUGACGGUUUCAAUCCUUUUAGAGCAAUGGCAACAAACUAUAGUAUUUGGCCUGUGGUUCUUAUUCCACAUAAUCGUCCUCCUUGGGAGUGCAUGAAACAAACUUCAUUCAUUCUUUCAAUGAUCAUUCCAAGAGAACAAAUGCCUGACAAUGACAUUGACGUGUACUUACAACCUCUUAUCCAAGAGUUGAGAGAAUUGUGGUACGAUGGAAUGCAGAUAUUACACUCUUCAAAGAAUGAAAUUAAAAUGCGAGCAGCCUUGAUGUGGACAAUUAGUAUUUUCCUGGACUUGGCAGCUUAUCUGGAUGGAGCACAUACACUCAGUUUACUUGUCCCACAGGUAACUUUGAUACAUACUCUUGCCGGCUGAAGCAUAGUAGAAAAUGAUGUUUCAUGGGUCAUCGUCAUUUUCUUGAAAGCGUCCAUCGUAAUAUUCUUGGCGCUUUGCUUGAGAAAUCAACGGAUUCGAGCACAACAAACACUUCCCCAUACUAGUGGUGCUAUGAGUUUGGCUGGAAGAAGGGCUUUGAUGAUAGUUUAAUACGACGUACUUACUGUCGCUUUAAUGUGACAAGAGUUAUUUAGUUUAAUUUUACUUUUUAAAACUUUAAGAAGAAAUAGAAAAAAGAAGUUGAUCGUGGCAAAUUGUGGACUGAGACUCUUAAGAGGAAAGAAGGGAGUUAUGUGAAUGAUCAAGUUAGGGAGAUUGGGUAAGUGUCUAUCACUAUAAUUGAACUGAAAUACUCAUAUUUUACAUUCAAUUUCCCUGAGCAUCUAUUAGCCUCAAGCCACAAUUUCUCCUGUACAUAUAAGGAAAAGCUUAUGUGAAUUACUGUUGAAUACAUGAGAUUUUGAUCUAAGAACAUUUCCCAACCAAUUAAUGUGAAUUACCUUAGAUUGAAGCAGUGUUAUGAAAAGCGAGCGCUUCGUCGCUUAAAGCGCGAAGCGACUCGACGCGACACACUGUCGCUUUUGUCUCCUUAAUGCGAGGAGACCAACAUAAUCGAUCGAUUAACAGGUAAAGGCGAGGCGACGGCGAGGCGACGAAGCGAUCGAUUUUCUGAAAAAAGCGAUCGACCAGUUAUAUAUUGGUUUGAAAUUAAAAAAAACAAUUGGAAAUUAGGGUCUCCAGUGACGGAAAUUAGGGUUUCCAUCUUCGACGUUCUCGCGAUCUUCUUCUCGUUCUCGCGAUCUUCUUCUUCAUUUUUUUCUUCUUCUUUCUCUCUCUGUCGACGAGACAGAGUUUCUCCAGUGACUUUUUCAUUUUAUUCUUUUUCAUUUUUUUUCUCCAGUGACAGUCUUCUCCAGUUCUUUUUAUUUUAUUCUUUUUUUUGCAUGCGGCUGGACUUAUUCUAAACCCAUCACCCUUUUAUGAGCAAAACCAAAGUUCUUUUUAAUCCAAUUUUUUUAUGCACUGUAGCGCAUAUAUAUAUAUAUAUUUAAUUAUUGUAUUAUUAUUAUUAAUUUCAGUGUAUUUUCAGUGUAUUUCAGUGUAUUUUCUGUGUAUUUUCAGUUUAUUAAUUAUUUUUUCACUUAUAUCUUAAUAGGGAUAAUUAAAUGUCUCAAAGUUUGAAAGAGAAAGACCCGGCUUGGCAAUAUUGCCAAAGAGUUAAUGAGAAGAAUACAAAUAUUUUUGAUUAUUUAUAAUUUUACAUUAUGUUUUUUAAGAAUUGCGCUUCACUUCAAAAAAGUGUGCGCUUCUUUGCGCUUUGCGCUUUGCGCUUUGAAGCUUGACACAUCAUUUUUGCAGAUUCAUACAAAGAAAAGAAAUCGCCUAACCUUGAAGUGCCUCCAUAAUCUAGUGUUUAUAAAAUACAAUAGAGCAUUGAGGCGUCACUACAACCACCGCAAUAUAAUUGAUCCAAUUCUUUUGGACAAUAUUGAUGACGCUUAUGAGUGGCUAACUGGAGUCCCCGAAAAUUGUGAAGAUGAUGAAGUAUUUGAAGGCGACCCCGAUUUAACUUGGGGUGAUGUUGCGGUUGCUAGUGGAGUUGGGNNNNNNNNNNNNNNNNNNNNNNNNNNNNNNNNNNNNNNNNNNNNNNNNNNNNNNNNNNNNNNNNNNNNNNNNNNNNNNNNNNNNNNNNNNNNNNNNNNNNNNNNNNNNNNNNNNNNNNNNNNNNNNNNNNNNNNNNNNNNNNNNNNNNNNNNNNNNNNNNNNNNNNNNNNNNNNNNNNNNNNNNNNNNNNNNNNNNNNNNNNNNNNNNNNNNNNNNNNNNNNNNNNNNNNNNNNNNNNNNNNNNNNNNNNNNNNNNNNNNNNNNNNNNNNNNNNNNNNNNNNNNNNNNNNNNNNNNNNNNNNNNNNNNNNNNNNNNNNNNNNNNNNNNNNNNNNNNNNNNNNNNNNNNNNNNNNNNNNNNNNNNNNNNNNNNNNNNNNNNNNNNNNNNNNNNNNNNNNNNNNNNNNNNNNNNNNNNNNNNNNNNNNNNNNNNNNNNNNNNNNNNNNNNNNNNNNNNNNNNNNNNNNNNNNNNNNNNNNNNNNNNNNNNNNNNNNNNNNNNNNNNNNNNNNNNNNNNNNNNNNNNNNNNNNNNNNNNNNNNNNNNNNNNNNNNNNNNNNNNNNNNNNNNNNNNNNNNNNNNNNNNNNNNNNNNNNNNNNNNNNNNNNNNNNNNNNNNNNNNNNNNNNNNNNNNNNNNNNNNNNNNNNNNNNNNNNNNNNNNNACUUGUCUUAUGGUUUAUGGAUGGUUUGUGGAUGAUUUGGUGGUACCUAGUACCUACUUUUAAGUAUUUAAAUUGAUGUUUUUUGAUUAUUUAUAAUUUUACAUUAUGUUUUUUAAGAAUUGCGCUUCACUUCAAAAAAGCGUGCGCUUCUUUGCGCUUUGAAGCGAGUCGAGCCCUUGUCGCUUUUUUGCGCUUUGCGCUCUCCAAAACAUUGGAUUGAAGAUUAGUAAGCUGGUCAAGCAUCAGUUGUGUCUACAAAGCAUCCAGAAGGUACCAUAAGAAACAUAUAUACUUGAUUGAAAGAGAUAUUGAUCGAAGAACAUUACAUUGUUGUUUGGUUUGUGGAGUUUGCAGAUGGUAAUACUAUCUGUUUGAUUGAAAUAAAUGAAGUUAUUGUUGAUACAAGUACUUCCAGCACUGCAGAAUCUACCAAUUGACCUGAUUCUUAGCUUUUGUAAUUAUAUUUUGUCUCUUGUGGAGGAAAGAAUUGAAGAAAUUUGAAGACAAAGACCAGAUACUCGGGCAGAAAUUUCACCGAAUGACGCGCUUGGAGUAGUCUUCUGUCCCAUCACCCUGGCCGUGUUCGAGGCUUAGGCAUGGGUGCAAUUCCAACUGUAGUAUUCAAGCAAACAUCAAAGACGAGGUGGUUGUUCUGAUAUGGGCGCAGCUAGCACUAGUGCUCCACCUCCACAAUGGGUGCAAGAGAUGGCAAAUAUGAGAUCACAAUUAAAUGCACUAACAAGUUUAUUUCAAAUGAAAAUAGAAAAUAUCCCCGAGGAGUUUGCUCACUUAUUCCUGCUCCUCCACAUGUAAGUCUUCUCUUUAUUUUGUUGACAUAUGCUGUCCUAAACAAAGAUUUGACCAAAAUAUUGAGCUGAAUAAAGACAAGUCGAACUGAAUAUUGGACAGUUGGGUAACUAACUUUUCUUUAAAUAAUUAGCCAGAUGAGCUGCUUCUGAUUUAUAUAGGACGGAAUACACAAAGUAUUAAUGAGAACUGUACAAGAAUUAGCAUAGAUUGCUUGAUAGUACUAGGCAUUUUUGUCUUUAUUCUAAGUGAUCUUUCACUUUUAUUAAUUGCAUGCCUUACUUUAUGUGAUUUUUGGUUGGCUGACAACAUUAGUCUCUAUCUUAGCACCUUUUCUUUUUGGCAUAUGGAUGUUUAAAUAUUUGGUUCUAGAAAUGUUUGCUUUAUGUGUAUUUUUGUAGGAAAACUUUUACUCUAAAGUACGCUCCGUUUUUGGCUUAUUAUGAGAAGAGAUGGUAUCCAGUUAUGUUGUUCUGCGUUUGUGUAAGCUCUAUUGUUAUGGGUGAUUCAGCUAUUUAGCUGAAACUUUGAAAAGAUUAAACACUUCAUUGGCACUUUGUCAGUAUAGCUUAAGCACUUCGUUGGCCUGCUGUUAAUACGCAGCUCUAUACUGCCACAAAAUGAAUAUUAUCUGCUCCUUUAUCUCUACUGUCAUAGUAAAAAUAUUUCACUCAUUAAUGUUAUGUCAUGCAGGCACCCAAUCUAGGAGAUGUCGUUGGAGAUGGCAUUGGAGAUGGUGUUGGAGAUUGUGUGGGAGAGAACGUUCCAUCACCAACUGGGCCUAGAAGAUCCUUUGACGAAAGUAACUAUGAAAAUGGAGCAAGCAAUAAUUAAUAAUCAUUGUUAGGAUGAACUAUAUUUUUUUGUAUUGUAAUUAUUGAGCAACUCUCUUAACUCUAUGCACCUUAAACUUGAAUCUUUGAUGAUGUGGAUUUUGGGUAUGUUUUAAUAUGAUGAAUAUUUUUAAUAUGAUGAUGUGGUUCUUUAAGCUUAGAAUUUUUACUUUUUGAACUUUGAAGCAAUAUGAGAUUCAAAAUGCACUUCAGUCAGUCAUAUAUAAAAGUCUACUUUUGACAAUUAUUUGAUCUUCUACGGUUAUAUAUGAAAUCUUAACUUUAACCCAUAUGAACAUUCGCAGUCUCCUUCUAAAACCUUGGGUGAUGAUACAGUAUUCCCUUUAUUAAACAUAUUACAAUUAUGGCAAUAUAAAAUGGCUAUAAUUUGUAAGAGACAGGACAAGAAUUUCGGCGGUUCAAAAUCAAGCAAAGUAAACAACCGUACUUAAAUAUGCAUAUUGUGGCGCUUUUAUGUGCAUAUUGCGGCGGUUAGAUGAAAACCGUUGUAUUACACCUUUUGGUGGAAGCGAUUAUGGUGGUUGUGUAGGACGCCAUUAACAACAAUUGCAGAGGUUUUGAACCGCCGCUAUAAGCAAAUGUGACCGCCACUAUUACUUCGGCCUUUUGUAGUGAGUACUCAUGGCCACUGGAGCAACUACAACUGCAAUCAUGGAUUAAUCAUUAGUAAUCAGACGAACAUAUUUAAACUAUCAAAGAAAUAUAACAGCCAACAAGAGCAAAAACCGCAGAUAUCAUUGAUUAGAAGAUAUGUCGCGACCACAAUCCACAAACAGAAAGCAAAAACAUUCAAAACAUGAGCAAAAAGAAAGAGAAAUCCCUAAUCUGGGUCACUGAUGGUACUAGACAUGUUCAGGAGAUAAAGGCUAGAAUUCCUAUGGCUUGGGGGAGCUAGAGGGUUGGUUUUGGGCUUGGAGAAGAUUCAACAUAUUAUGAAGAAUCCCAUCAUUCUUCUGCUUUUCCUUGGUAAACUCAAUUCUGAGAACAUCCCUCUCAAAUUCAACCUCUGCUAAAUAAGCGUUCAGCCUAGCUAUCUCAGAAUCAUUGGCCUCACUUUCCAAAACUAACGCCUUGACUUUAUUGUUGAUAUGUAUCUUCUAAGAUGAACCAGAUUCAUUUGGAAUGGCAUUGACCAGAUAGUCACAAGCAAUCAGAGUAUUAAUUCCAAAGUAGUCCUUUCUUGGGCCAUUUCUCAUUUCUUCAGAGGCACCUUGAAUCGAUCCAGAACAGUAGUCAAAAUAAAUCCAUAGGGGCUAGCAUGGGCCUUGGAGCCAUUGAUAACCCUAUCCAGUAGCUUGAUGAUGAAUGCAUGCCAGUUGAUUUGACUUUCACUUUCAAGGCACUCUAUUAGAACUAAAUUCAUAUAGCUAGCAAUAUGCCUUCUUUCAUGCCUGUGAAGUAGACACUUGUUGAAAAACUCAAAGAGGACUUUGUGUUGUGGAUUUAUUUCACUCUUGUGCACAAAAUUGGCCUCAUUCACUUUUUCAACAUCACAAAAUCUCCUACUGAUUUCCAGGGCAUGAGGAAGGGAAUCCAGACUUGGCCAUCUUUGCCCGGUGGAGUCACUAUAUCCCUCAACAGGGAUGUCAAGAAUCUCUCCCAACUUCUCUGCAUCAAAGGUCACUUGAACUCCUUUUACUUGGGUGAUGACCCUACCAUGUUUGACCUCACAUUUUCCAUGAAUUCAAUGAUCUCAUUCCUGACUAGCCUUCCAUCCAUCUGAAGGACCAUGUCCUUCUAGCCCUGAAUAGCUAGGGCAUCAACCAAACAAACCAUUCCUCGUUCCACUAACUCUUUCAGCAAUCUUCCUUUCAAAAUUUUUCUUUUGACAAACUUGGCCAAUUUGUCUUGUUCACCAUCAGGCUCACUUUCUUCUUCACCACUCCAUUCCUCAUCUUAAGAAACUCUAACUUGUUUUCUUUUCACACAGACCUUGUACUCUAUGCCAGUGAAGGGUCAACAGCCUUAGACACAAAUGAAGAAUUCUUGAAAGAUGUCUUGGUCUUUUUGGGCUUGAGAUUUCUGAACCUCCAUUGUUGUAUGGUCCUCCUGAUGGACCUGUUCCAUCUCCUUAACAUCAACAGCUUUAGAGGACUCUACAACCUUACCUUUUCUUUUAUCCAUCCCCUUUUUCUUACUUUCAGCCAAAGCUUUUUGUAGCUCACUCUCACUCUUUUCACCCUGCUUCUUGUGUCUCUUCCAUUUGGCAAGGGAGUUUCAAUAGUUGUUGGGGAGGAAGCCUUUCGUUUCUUAGAAGGUUUGUCAACAUGGGGGCUUUUGGUGUUUGAGUUAUCCUUUUCUUUGGAUCAUAACUGGCACUUAUUUUCUUCAGAAGGUCUUCUAGGGUCUCCUCAAUAGAUGAACCAGUUUCAUCUGCUUGUGAACUUAGAUUAACUAACCCUUCAGCAGCCUCCUCUGAACCACUUCCCCCUGACUUCUUGCCACUUUCUUCCACAGUUGCCUGUACAACCCUAUAGAUAGAUGGUAACGACAAUUUUGAAGUGGAUGAAGAACCAACCACUCCUUUCCCUUUUCCUCUCACAUCACCACAUACACCCCUCUCUCUCUCUCUCUUGUUUUCUUUUUCAAUUAUAUUUUUACCUCCACUCCUUACCAAUUCAGGCAUUUCCACAUCCUUGAUAGGCCCAACCAAAAUGAACCUAUUUUCAAAAUUUUCAGCUAAAGCAGAACUUACCUUAGAAGGGAAGUUUGAGCCUUCUCAGAGUCAGAAGAACCAGGUCCUACCCCCUCACUCGCAUAUUUGAAUGAAUCAUCUGAGUUCUCAGAAUUUUGGGCUUGGGUAGCCUUCAAUUUUGCGUUUUAUCUCUUUGACAAUGCACAUAAGGCUUUUUCGGGCUAGCAUUUUAAUACGUCUUUUCUUAGGCCGGGGGCUUGUACUGGGUGGAGAAGGCGUGGAGGAACCAAAAGGGGAUGGUGGUGGAGGAGUGGGUUAUCUUGAGGGUUCAACAUUGUAGCUGAUGGCUUGAGAGAGUUUGUGAGUUAGACUUUUGGAGAAGAAAAUAAUUUAGAGUGAAAAAGGGUUUUUGAUAGUUUGGAAUACUGAGGGUGGCAGAAGGUUAUAAUUGGUAUUAAAAAGAAAUAAUUAUUUAAUGGAUAACGAUAUCUUUAGCAGUCAACUAGAGCUCUAAUCAACCUGAAAUUGGAGGUUGAACGAACGGUUAGGCUUCCCUAUAUUUUAGGCAUUUUUUGUGGUGAUUAACAAGGACGAAACUAGUUAAAAGAAAUGGAUAGGAUUUUCUAAUGUGUUGAUCAUUGGUAGGACUCUUCUCAUGAUUUAAAUAUUUAUAUUUCUAAUUGUACAGAAUAUAGAAAGUAUACCUUGUCAUUCAGAUAAACCAAUACUGAUAAACCAGGUUCUUCAUUUAGAAUUCUCUUGAUCAUGCCUCAAUUUACCAUAAUAGAAAUUUUAUUAGAGAUCAGUGAAUCAUAUAAACACAUGUCACUGAAGCUGAAUAAGAAUUAAUAUGGAUAUUUACUCAAGUGUCAGAAUUCCUAGCCAAAAAAUAAAUAUUUUUUAUUAAUUUAUAUAUAUAUAUAUAUAUAUAUACAUAUAUAUAUAUAUAUAUAUACAUAUAUAUAUAUAUAUNNNNNNNNNNNNNNNNNNNNNNNNNNNNNNNNNNNNNNNNNNNNNNNNNNNNNNNNNNNNNNNNNNNNNNNNNNNNNNNNNNNNNNNNNNNNNNNNNNNNNNNNNNNNNNNNNNNNNNNNNNNNNNNNNNNNNNNNNNNNNNNNNNNNNNNNNNNNNNNNNNNNNNNNNNNNNNNNNNNNNNNNNNNNNNNNNNNNNNNNNNNNNNNNNNNNNNNNNNNNNNNNNNNNNNNNNNNNNNNNNNNNNNNNNNNNNNNNNNNNNNNNNNNNNNNNNNNNNNNNNNNNNNNNNNNNNNNNNNNNNNNNNNNNNNNNNNNNNNNNNNNNNNNNNNNNNNNNNNNNNNNNNNNNNNNNNNNNNNNNNNNNNNNNNNNNNNNNNNNNNNNNNNNNNNNNNNNNNNNNNNNNNNNNNNNNNNNNNNNNNNNNNNNNNNNNNNNNNNNNNNNNNNNNNNNNNNNNNNNNNNNNNNNNNNNNNNNNNNNNNNNNNNNNNNNNNNNNNNNNNNNNNNNNNNNNNNNNNNNNNNNNNNNNNNNNNNNNNNNNNNNNNNNNNNNNNNNNNNNNUAUAUAUAUAUAUAUAUAUAUAUAGUCCAUUCUGAGCUAGUCCGAUUAGGUGAUAUUAAUCAUCCCUAAUUCUAACCCGUUCCUUUCAAAGCUUUCUCUACUCAGUGUUUUAGUAAAGAUGUCAGCAAUUUGUUUAUCGGUAGCAUAGAAUUCUAUCGUGAUCAAUUCUUUCUUAUAAUUGUCCCUUAAGAAGUGAUGUCUAAUAUCUAUGUGCUUAGUCCUCUUAUGAUGAACCGGGUUAUUUGUCAUACUUAUAGGACUAGUGUUAUCACAAAAGAUAGGGAUGCAACCAACUUCAAUGCCAAAAUCUAUCAGUUGUUGUUUGAUCCACAUGGUUGAGCACAGAAGAGGCAGCAAUAACAUAUUCAGCCUCAGCAGUGGAUAAGGCCACUUAAUUCUUUUUUUUAGUGGCCCAUGAUACCAGAUAUGAACCAAGAAAAUGAGCCAUAUUUGAGGUGCUUUUUCUACCCCCAAGGAAAUCUGCAUAGUCAGCAUCAACAUAUACCACUAGAUUAAAGUUACUACCUUUAGGGUACCAAAGGCGAAGAUUAGUAGUGCCUUUCAAAUAUCUCAUUAUCCACUUGACAAUAAUUAAGUGGCAUUCCUUAGGAUUUCCCUAAAAAUGAGCACAAAGCCCUACACUAAAAACUAUGUCAGGUCUGCUAGCAGUAAGAUACAAAAGUGAACCAAUCAUACCCCUAUACAACUUCUGACCAUCAUAUGAACCAGGUUCAUCUAUGCCGAAUCUAGUAGCUGUCGCAAUGGAUGUGUCUAUUUUUUUUGAUUUAUCCAUUUUAAACUUCUUAAUCAACUCUUUUGCAUAUUUCUGCUGAUGGAUCAUGGUUCUAUUUGGGUUUUAUUUGAUCUGUAAGCCUAAGAAAAAGUUAAGCUCACCCAUCAUACUCAUUUCAAACUCAUUCCCCAUAAAUUUGGCAAAGUCUUUACUCAGUUUGUCAGUGGUUACCCCAGAAGUUAUGUCAUCAACAUAUAUUUGUACUACAAAAAGAUCCUUACCUUUUCCCUCAGGAAUAGAGUAUUGUCAAUCUUACCUCUUUUGUAGCCAUGUUCAAGUAGGAAUUUGGACAGUCGUUCAUACCAUGCUCUAGGAGCCUGCUUGAGUCCAUAUAGAGCCUUGUCUAAUUUGUACACUUGUUCCGUACACUCCUUGCUCUCAAACCCUGGAUGUUGUUUGACAAAUACUUCUUCUUUUAGGUAGCCAUUUAGGAAGACACUUUUGACAUCCAUCUAAUGAAGAGUAAAUUUCAUGUGUGCUACAAAGGCUAUGAGGAGUCUUAUUGCCUCCAAUCUUGCAACUGGAGAGAAGGUCUCAUUAUAAUUUAUUCUCUCCUCUUGGCUAUAACCUUGGACCACCAGCUUUUACUUGUCUCUUGUUCCAUCUUCAUCAAACUUGUUUCUGAAGACCCAUUUAGUGCCAAUUACUGGUCUUUCCUUGAGUAUUGGAACUAGAUGCCAAACUUGACUUCUUUUAAACCGAUUGAGUUCAUCUUGCAUUGCAUUUACCCAAUCUGUAUCCUGCAAAUCCUCAACAACUUUUUUAGGUUCAAUAAGAGAUAAGAAAGCAUCAAAAGCACACAAAUUCUUUAAUUAUGAUCCAGUUUUAACUCCAGAUGUUGGAUCAGUAAUUAUGUUCUCAAUGGGAUGAGAACUUUGAUACUUGUAAGGUUUCACAACUAACUGGUUUCUAUUUGAUGUUUCUCCCAUGUUCUAUUGUUGAGGAACAAGCUCAUGGGCAUGUUCCAUUAGGGGAUUGGUUUCAGUUCUUCUUUGUUCAGUUCCCCCUGUCAGGUUGCCCUAGAUGGAAGAACCUGUUCUAUCACCUGUUCCUUCUUUUGAUGCAUAUUCAGCUUGAUCUCCCAUGUUCUAUAGUUGAGGAACAAGCUCAUGAACAUGUGACUUCACUCAAUUCUUUUGCCAGCCCAAUGACUUCCUCUAAAAAAGAUUGUUAGUUUCAUAAAAACAACAUAUACACUUUCUUCUACAUACAAAGUUUUUUUGUUGUACACUUUAUAAGCUUUGCUUUGUGAAGAAUAUCCCAAGAAUACCCUCUCAUCACUUCUUGGAUCAAACUUACCUGGGGAUUCCUUUCCAUUAUUAUGCACAAAGAACUUGCAUCCAAAUGCCCUAAGAUGGGAUAGACUUGGUUUUCUCCCUUUAAGUAAAGCAUGGGGAGUCUUCUCCAUAGGAGGCCUAGUCAUGCAUCUACUAGUGAUUUAACAUGCAGUAUUUACAGCCUCUGCCUAGAAGUUAUGGGGUAGUUUACUAGAAAAACGCAUAGUCCUAGCCAUAUCUUCAAGAGUCCUAUUUUUGCUUUCAAGUACUCUAUUUUGUUGAGAAGUCCUAGGGGCAGAGAAAUUAUGAUCUAUACCAUGCCCAUCAUAAAAUUCAGCAAACUUAGCAUUUUCAAAUCGAACUCCAAGAUCUAACAUAAUGAUGCAAGUUGAUUACCUAGUUUUUUCUGAGUUUUUCUAACAAUGGCAGUAAAAACGUCAAAUGCUUCAUACUUAGAUGUUAAAAACAAUACCCAAGUGAACCUAGAGUAAUCAUCUAAAAGUACCAUCACAUAUUUCUUACCACAUCUGCUCAAUGUUCUCACUGGACCACAUAGAUCCUUAUGAACCAAUUUCAUCGUCCUAGUGGUGCUUUCCAUUUUAUUAAUUUUAAAAGAUGAUCUUACCUGCUUCCCCCUUGCACAGGCCUCACAAACUUUGUCUUUCUUGAACUUGAUGUUAGGUAACUCUAUCAUUGGGUCCUUGAAGAUUAAUUUUUUGAGUUGAUUCAGACUUGCAUGACCAAGUUUUUUGUGCCACAUGAGGGGAUCAUUGUCCAACACACUCAAGCAAGUGAGUUCAUUUUUUGAAAGAGUGGACAAAUCUACAUUGUAAAUAUUGUUAUCUCAUGUCCCUUCAAAAUAAUCUUGUCAAUGGUAAGAUUAAUCACAAAACAUUGGGUAGAGGUAAAUGCUACCAGGUUAAUUCUAUCACACAGUUGUGCCAUACUGAUUAGGCUAUAUUUCAAGCCAUCUAUCAAGUAGACAUUCUCAAUGGAAUGUGAGUCUGUCUUACCUACUUUUCCAACCUCAAUGAUCUCAACCUUAUUCCCAUUUCCAAAUGAGACAUUACCUUAUUUUAGGUCAUCAAAUGAAAGGAGUUGGUUCUUACUUCCUGUCAUAUGCUUUGAGCAACCAUUAUCCAUGUACCAUAUUUGUCUACUUCCGUUCACUUGGACCUACAAAACAAAAUCAAGGGUUAGUCUUAGGAACACAAACUAGUUUGGGUCCCUUUCAAUAGGCAAAUUGGUGAAUUAAAUUCCUUUUGUCCUAUCCAGGCGACCUAUUUUUCUCUUGAACAAAGGUUUUGUUCUUUUGACUGGCCUUUUCUUUUGCAUUAUGUUCACUUUUGUAAUGACCAGUCUUGGGUAGUGUGUGCAGAUUUUGUUUUCAGAAGUCUAAUGUAUAUACUUUUGGGAUCCUACUUAGAUGUUGGGGUCUCAUAUCCAAGUCCUUUCUUGUUGCUACUGUGGUGAUCUUGUAGCCAGGAUAGUGCAUCAAAGGACUUAUUUCAUUUAUAAGUUCUAUCUGGUUCAUGUUUCACCUUGCCUAGAUCUUCUUUUAGGACUCUUAUCUGCUAAUCUUUCUUGUAAAAAUCAUUCUUCAUUUUAUCUAGAUUUUCUUCUAAGGUGAGGUUUGUGUUUGAUUAGCUUUCUUCUUACCUAUUCCUAAUUUUUAUUUUAAAUUUUCAGACCUAAGUUGUAAGAUAUUAGUGUCAAGUUCAAGAACCUGAUUCUUCAACUCAACAUUUUUACUAUCACUUUUACUAGCCCUAAAUUUCAAUUUUUUGCACUUGGCUUUUAGGAUAGCACAUUCCCUAGAAACUGUUCCUUCUCAUUGUUUAUGACCUUAGACUCAUCAAUGAAGUCUAGCAAUAAUUCAGAUAGCCUUUUAUCAGACAAAAAUUUAAUCUUGUCUUUGAGAUGAAUAACACUUACCUCUUGUUCAUCGUUUGAUUCUCCAAUGGCCAUAAGUGAUUUUUCAUCUCCAACUUCAUCUUUUGAAUCCUCAUCAGAGGUUUCUCCCCAAACUGCACCAUAGCCUUUGUUGAUCCUUUGUUCCUUUUGGGUUGAAUCUGUUCCUUCUUUCUGUUUCUUCUUUCAACCCUUCCCUUUUCCCGUUAAAUUUCCCACUGGGGACAAUUUUUGAUCAUAUGGUCAGUCUUACCACAUUUGUAACAGCCCUCGUUGGUCUGUUUUUUAGGAUCUCUUGGUUUGUUGUAUUAGUGCUUGUUCAUCUCUAGCUUCAUAUUCUGAAUCCUCAUUUGAGGUUUCUCUCCAAGAAGCAACCAUGGCCUUUUUUGAUCCUUUGUUCCUUUUGGGUUGAACCUGUUCGUUCUUCCUGCUUCUUCAUUCAGCCUUUUCCUUCUUCCAUUCAAUUUUCCACUGGGGAUAAUUUUUGAUUAUGUGGCCAGUCUUACCAUAUUGUAGCCGCCCUCGUUGGUCUAUUUUUCAGGAGCACUUAGUUUGUAAAAGGUUGCACCUCUUGAGAAACCUUUCCUCUCAUUAGGUACUUCUUGAAAUCCUUUGUGAUCAUAGGCAUUUCAUAAUCCAUAUGUAUGCACAUUUAGCUAUUCUUAGAGCCAGGCUUCUUUCCUUCUUAGGUGCAUCCAUCUUCAUAGUUUGCCUUCUCAGUUCAUAGGCAAUGAGAUUUCCAAUCAGCUCAUCCAACUUGAGGGUAGCAAUAUUUUUUGAUUCCUGAAUAACUGUGAUUUUUCUUUCCCAAGUUACUGGCAAGACUCUUGUCAAGAUUUUCUAAUCCUUGUCUUCUUAAAGGAUAAAUCUUCCAAGAGACUUAAGUUCAUCUGUUAGUGUUGUGAACCUUGCAUACAUCUCUUAGAUGAAUUCUCCUUCCAUCAUGGUGAAAUUCUCAUAUUGGGAAUAUAGCUGUGUUCCUCUUGACCUAUUUACUUGAGAAGUUCCUUCAUGGGCCACUCGUAGAGUGUCCCAUAUGUCUUUAGCAGUGGUACAACUUUGAAUCCUGCUGUACUCGUCUGAACCUAGUCCACACACGAGCCAUUUUUUGGCCUUGACAUUCUUUUCCCAUUUCUUCAAAUCUUCAGUAGUACAGUCAGCUAUGGUCUUUGGCACGUCCAGUCCUUCAACAUUCUUCUUUGUAGUAGCCAGGGGACCAUCAGUAAUCAUGUCCCAUAGUUCAUACUCUUCUCCUAUGAUAUGGUGUCUCAUCUUGUUCUUCCAAUAGGAAAAGUAAUGGCCAUUAAAGAGUGAAGGCCUAGCAGUGGAUUGCCCUUCCCAGUUUUCAGGUGGUGCACUCAUCUUGAUCUGUUCUUCAGGUGUUAGCCUUUUCAAGGAUAACCAACUCUGAUACCAAUUGAUAUUUUAGACUUUAAUACCACACAAGAGGGGGGAGGGGGAGGUGAUUUUUGUGGUAUCAAAUUUUCGCUUAACUUAAUUAUAGAAGGAGGGUUCAUCUAUGUGUUCCAACUACUAUUGUUGAGGAAUAAUAAGUACAAAAAAUAAAAAAUACGGAGAUAUUUAUGUGGAAAACACCUGACUCAAAAGGUGAAAAAAUCACGACCUACUUUCCUGUAGGAUUUUUCCAAACUCUCCACUAAAAUCACUGAGCCAAAAACUAUAUUUACAAAAACUCUUUUGUAAACCUAAGAUUAACUCUAAUCCCGUUGUGGUACAUAGCCUCAACUGUUGCGACAACUUCAAGUUAACUUUUACUUGAAAACUUUAAGUACCUCAUACAAUUGCUUCUAUAAUAGCUGAAUGGUACAAUGUAAAACCACCUACUACAAUUGUACUAGAAUAAAAGAUAGACACUUGGAACUGCUUCUUCUAUAUGGUUCAAGUAGCUUCAGGAUUGCACGCUUGAAUCACACAUAAAUUGUUUGUAAAAUUGCUUUGUUAUUUUGCUCUCAAUUCACGUUUAAUUUUUGCUUAUGUGCAUUAAUUGUAAAAGAGAACAACACUAAUAUAUAAGGAGUUAGUAAUAAGAGAUUGACUAGGAUAUAGAUGCUACUCUUCCAUGGUGGAAGAGUUCUAGUUGAUCUCAUACUCUAACUCUAUCCUCUUCCUAAACUAUGUUCUUUUUGUGUAAGAAGUCUUUCUCCUUAUCUAAUAUGCAGCCUUUUCGAUCAUGAUCAGGAGAUAUUACUUCUGAUAAGUUAGAAUUAUCUCCAUCAUAUGCAUCUCACAUGUUUGGGUCGAUCACGACUGUGCUUCAUAAGAUGAACCCGGUCCAUGUCUGAACUCUUUUGUCAGUCUUCAAAACUUCACAUUUACUUGGCCAACACUCCCUCCAUUCCAAAUAUUGCUAGUGAAUAUAACUUGUUGCAGAUUGGUCCUUUAACUGUUUCUAAAUAGCUUACUGACCCUGAAGUACUGCAUUAAAAUUUUGAAUUGCAUACAUAUAUUAUUCUUUCAUUUGGUAUCAAAGCUCCAGACACCACCAAGUGGUAUUGUACUGGGUCGUACUUUGGUAUCAAAGCUAAUUAUUAAUUUGAGCUGGAUUUUCAUUUCUUCACACAUGAUAUGUACCACGCAAAUUGUUGGUUAAGGUUUCCAUCGGAUCUUAAGGACUUUGUGCUUUCUCUUUCAAUUCAGUACAUCGAAUCAUUAAUUUGUGACAGUCAUUGGUUCAAACUUUUGGAUUGUAUGCUCGAAUUCUUUCACAAAUAUAAUUUGUGAACAUAUUUAUACCAGGACAACACUGAUCCGAAAGCCAUUUUCAAAUAGCUACUAGCCCUUGAGGCCAUGUCCUUCGUAUAUAUUUUCAGCUUCAUGUAUUUUACCAGCAAAUUGGAAGUACACCAGCCAAAUGAAUUUGUUUGUACGGUAAAUAACGGGAUCAGAGAGAGAGAAAACAAACAAACAAAGAGGAAAAGAAAAAUGAAGUUGGAGUGAUGAAUUCCACGAGUCAAACAAGUAAAUUUAAUAGCUCAUAAAAUUUGUUGGUCGUUCAAAAAUGGUUGAAUGCAGUUGUGAGCUAUUAAAAGCAUUCUUGUUACUCAGCGUUUCGAUGUCACUGAGGUGUUUAGAUCUUUAGAGUUAUUACUGUUCUUUGGUGACUGUUUCUCUGAAAUUUAGAGUUAUGCUCUUCCAUUAAAUUUUCAUUGCCAUUCAAUGUUUGAAAAAUAAUAAUCUAAAACGAAAUUGCAGAAGGUUUGAGACGCGAGAAUAUGACUUUUCUUAAAGAAGAUAUUGCUCGUAUAUAAAUUGGCGAAAUACAAAUAAUUUUCUUCAGGAUACAACAAGCCAAGAACAUACUGCGGAUUUUUCUAUAUCCACUUUGUUGAAAGAACUUCUAUUUAUAGGCAACCAUCGACCUUUUCAAAAAAAUAUUAUUUUUCAUAAACAGACGCAUCUGUUUAUUCAAAUAAAAUUAACAUUUAAAUUUAAAAUAAAAUAGAUUUAAUAAUAGAAAUAAAUAAAAAAUAAAAUAUUUAUUUUAGGUCCAACCCAGCCCGUGCUCAAACCCCAAGUCCACUAUGUAUGUGUAUAUAUAAAUUUGAACACAUAUAAGAGUAUGUGUUCUAAAUUAGAUACAUAAAAGGACAAGGACUUAAAAAACAUAUAAAGUGGCCUUGCACCUUCGACGUGGGACAAACCCACUUUUCCAACAUCAAUAACAAACUAUCCUUCAUUCAAGACCUUCUUUAACUUGUACCAGCCCCACCCCCCUCUCUGAACACAAGAAUGAUUGGAUGUGCGAACAAAAUUUCAUAUGAUAGCUAAAGAGAUGUGAAAUCUACAUAUAAGGCAUGCAGAUCUUUUUAUAGUGUGGGAUUUUUUGGAAAAAAUCGUGCGAACUUGGUUCAAAAUGGACAAUAUUACACCACGUUAAGAGUAUCUCCAUACGAUGCAGGUGCACACAGUAAGCACAAAAACAGAGAAGUGAGUAAAAAAACUCCAUAUGGGCCCUCUGUCUGCAUCGGAUCCUAAGUCAGGGUCCCUAGGUCCCCUAUCUGCUCGAGAACCUAUGACUGGCUCCCAAUGAUCUAUGGCUUUGCCGGGACCUGGGCCUGGACAUGGACUGAGUCCUGGGGCUGGCUGGAGGAAACUUCAUGCUGGUCCUCAAACUGUAUGACUGCAUCAUCAGAACAUGGAAGCACCCUCUUCCUCUUGGGUGGUUUCUCGGGCUCCUGCUCUGGAUGCGGCUAGGCUGGUGGUUCCGGGUCAUGAAAUAGCAGAUCUAAUGGCAGGUGAUCUGCCUUCAACCUCUCUACCUCGACCUUAGCUCCUUCACAGGCUACUUUGAAGCCCAAGUCUUCCUUAUUUUCUUCGCCUCCCUAGCAAGCUCCUUGAGUGCCUUUCCAUGAAAAUAUACAAUGUCCCUAAUCAAUUUUUGGUUCUCAAGGAUCUUCUUCUAGUUGUCCAGAAGUUCCUUGAGAGUGUCCUGCACGGACUGUGGGACCUAUGGCGGAGGGGGUGCUGACUGGGCUACCACCAUAGAAGAUAGUACAAACAAUGUGGAAGUAGCUAUCUGCAUCCAGUUAUUGAUUCUAGCAAUCAACUAAUCUGGGGUGCUACCUGGGAUUGCCAAGUACUCUACCAACCAAGGACGAGCUUCCUCAACCAAUGCCAUUUUCCGCAAAUGCAAUGACUCAUCCUCCUGUGGGAAGCCCAAGUAAUCAUUUAUGGUCUUGCUAUCAAAUGUCACCUUCAGGUUUCGCAUUUUAGUUGUUGUGGUACCCUUUUUGAUGUGGGCCACAAUUGUGUAGAACACCUUCAUCAAGUGCGCAUUGGCCUCCUCCACGUGCCCUAUGAAAUAAUCCGAUCCAGCUCUGUAUCAGAACUACCUCAACAUAAUGGGGUUGUCAGGCAAAAGGUCCCCGGUGAUGAAUUUACACUCAGAUCUCAAUUUCCUCUAGGGACACCAUUCUCUGAACUUGAGGUAGGUGAUCUCAUUCAUAAAACAGUCAUCCCAUUCCUGCAAACUUCUUUUCCUCUAUAUCCCUCAUACUUAGGGCACAUCCCUUACUACUUAUUCCUCUUCUUCUGCUAUAGGACCCUCUCCAAAUAGAGAAGCUGUAGGAGAGGUAGAAUAUUCAUUGCCACUACCAUCAGCUGAGCCCUCAUACGACUUAGAAGAUAUACACACUGAUGCUUGGGCAAUGGGAGAGCAUGGAGGUGUAUCCCUCAACCCGUUCCUCUCUUUCAGUUAGGAACAUGCUCUAGCACGAAGUCUGACGAUGCCUCAUGGGAAUGCUCACAUUCACCCCCAGUUGCGUCAAUAGCUCUAUCAGCAACUUUGAUGAGCCUCUUGGUGUUUUUGAUGUUUUGCCAGGCUUGCGAGGUUAAUCUUACCAUGCCCUAUCCCCUACCCCGGGAGGACUCUACUUUGCCUUUUUGUUAUCACUUCCGCCUCAUGAUUCACCAUUAUAUGCAAGAGAGUACAGUCUAUGCUUGUUAGUAUAAGUAGAAGUAAUGAAUUCAAAAUUGCAGGAAAAUUGUUGCAAAUAGUUAAAUGUUACAGAACACGGACCUUACAAAACGAGGUGCAGUGCAAAGAGGCUACCGCAGACCGCACAAAAUCCAUUGCAAUCCGCAUAGAGGUAGGGUUCAAACUACACACUCUCUAAAUCUAUGCACCAAACCACACAUAUUGCAGUGUAUUGUAGUCCGCACUAAGGAACCGCGGACCGCAUAAAAUCUAUUGCAGUUGUGGUCCUCAAAUGUCAGCAUUCAGAACUUAUGCCACUGCGGUCCGCACAAAAUAGCGUUGCAGACCGUACAAAGGCAUCACAGACCGCACCAAAUCUAUCGUGGUCCGCGGUGAGUGCCUAGCAGCAACACCAACCUAGUCUUUAUGUUUUAUCCAUUUAAUCCAAAUCUUUACCUAUUAAUGAUUCCCUAGGUGUUACCUCACUGUUGUAACUAAUUAUGCCUAAUUAAAACGAGAUUGAAGUAAUCUAUGCUACAUGAUUGAAAGAAAAACAGGAAGGUAAGGAGAAGGAACUAAGAAAAACAAAAAUUCAAAGAAAAUAACAAAAUUAAACAACUGAGAAGGAGUUAAGAUUACCAGAAAUAAGAUACACUGAUGAUUUAUAGCCUUAGCUGAUAAUUUCAUGCAAUUAUAGAGAUGAACAGUACAUUUUUAUGCUUUGAGGGAAAAAAGAUCGAAAAGUUAGAAAUGAGGCCUUAGGUCCUAUUUAUAGAAAAAAGGACCUGGGUCCCAUCUCACCUACCCACCGUGGACCGCUUAAAAUGGCAAUGUGGUCCGCGAUGCACAAAACACUGGAAGAUUGGCCACUGCGGACUGCAACAAAUCUAGUGUAGUUGCAGAGGAUCACCGUAGACUGCACAAAAUGCAAGCGUCCGUGGUGGAAAACAUUAGAAACUCUAUACUUUUGACAAAUCACUUGGCGGUCCUCAUUGAUUUCUUGCCCCCACAUAAAGGCCUUUGCGGCCGCACAAAAUGAGUGCGGUAUGCAUUGCAAACUUCAAAGAAUGAUCAUUGUUUUGAGUAUAAUUGUUAUAUUUCAUUAAUCUUAAAGGGAUGUACAUUGUAAAGCUCUAUAGUAGUAGCUUGGACUAGCUGCUACUCAUUUACAAUCAAUCAUCUAUAUUAAGAUAACUAUCUAUAAACAAAUGCCACCACAGUAUAGGGAAGUCUAAAGGCUAUAACUAAGGAAAACAGUUAAGCUGCCGCAAGCCAGUUUGCCAUCGUUUGCAUUUUCUGCCACGGAUAUGUAUAAGUAAAGCAACUUCUCUGCAAAUCUGCUGUUCCACAAAUACUUUCCCAUUAUAUCGAAUGCUAUUCCUCUCCCUUCAGAUGAGAGCUACAGUAAUGACAAAAACAGAGGCUGUAAUAGAAUUGUGCCACAUUCUACUCCUUGUUUUACUGCAAAUCCAUUGAAUUUCUGUUUCCCAGUUACCAACAGUCCUAUAGUGUCCCAGCCAGCAACAGAUUCUGGUCCACAGACUAUUAGUAAUUGAGCACUCAAAGAACAGAUGGUUAAACACUUCAACACUCUGAUUGCAGAAUACACAUGUUGCUGGGACUUGUAUGCCAUAAUUCUGCAGUGUGUCAACUGUAGGAAAUUUGUGUUGAGCAACUAGCCAUAUAGUGAACUUGUGUCGAGGUUUAACAUUUGUAAUCAUCAUCAUAUUCUUCCAUUCGACCUUAUUGAAGCUGGGAAGCAAUGUGAGGUAAAGUUUCUGAAUGUGGAAUUUAUCCAGACUGCAUACACCUUUCAACCUGCCAAACAGAUCCCCCUGAAACUUCUGGCUCUCCAUUAUAAUAGUUCUGCUUUCCAGUAUCCUCCUGACAACCCAAGAAGCUGAUUUAGGUAUGUUCAUUGUUGCAAUAUCACCCUGUUUAAUGUAGUAGCAGUGCACCCAUUUAACCCAAAGACAGUCUUUCUUCCUGGCCAAGUCCCAUAAAAGUUUAGUAAUGGCUGAUUUAUUCCACACAGUCAAAUCUAGUAUGUUGAGUCCUCCAGCUGAAAGUGUUCUGCAUACCCUUUCCCAAGCAAUCAGUGCUCUUUUGGACAGAUUUGCAGUGCCUGUCCACAGAAAUGUUCUGCAUAUUGCUUCAAUGGCUUUCAAUACUUUUUUGGGCAGAAUGAAUACUUGAGCCCAAUAAGUCUGAAUACUUAAAACAACAGCUUUGAUCAGUUGGCAUCUCCCUGCAUUAGAAAGCAGCUUAGCUGACCAGCAAGUAAUUUUAUCAGUAAUCUUCUCUAUCAGAGGCAGGUAAUGAUGGAUGGCCAGUUUAACAGAUUUGAUCAUUUGGCAUCUCCCUGCAUAAGAAAGUAGCUUAGCUGACUAGCAAGUAAUUUUAUCAGUAAUCUUCUCUAUCAGAGGCAGGUAAUGAUGGAUGGUCAGUAUUUUAGAGUCAAGUGGUAUCCCCAAAUACUUGAAUGGAAUCUGGCCCUCAGUGAAUCCCAAUGUUUCUAUGAUUUCUUCUCUGGAACUCUGCUGCACGCCAGCCAAGUAUACUGCACUUUUGCUAAUAUUAGCUUGUAGUCCAGAAGCUUCAGAGAACUCAAGGAAUGUCUUCUGUAAGAUCUGGAUGGAGAUAAUAUCAGCUCGACAGAACAUAAGGAGAUCAUCAGCAAAACAUACAUGAGAACAAUUGAGCUUCCUGCAUUUGGGAUGAAAGUUGAAGUCCCCAUUCUUGUGCAACUGUUUCAAAAUCCUGUUCAGGUACUCCAUAGCCAGCACAAACAAAUCAGGUGACAUAGGUCACCCUUUCUAAUACCUCUCUUAGCAGUGAAGGGCUUAGUUAAUCCACUAUUCAUUACUAGGGAGUAGGAGACAGAGGUGACACAAGCCAUUAUCCAGUGAAUAAAUUUUGCAGGGAAGCCCAGGUCAAUGAGAAUCUAUUUGAGAAAGCUCCAUUCCAAGGUGUCAUAUGCCUUCCUAAAAUCAACCUUCAAAACACAUCCGGGAGAGACUCCCUUUCUUGUAUAACCCUUGAAGAUCUCAUGGCUAAGCAAAAUAUUAUCAAUAAUACUUCUCCCUUCAAUAAAAGCUGACUGAGCUUGACCAACUAAUUCACCAAUGACAGUUUUCAUUCUCCUAGUAAUAACUUUGGAGAUGAUUUUAUAGACAGUGGUACAACAGGCAAUAGGUCUAUAAUCUUUAACAGUUGUAGGAGCUCUAACCUUAGGCACAAGUGCAAUAGCAGUAGUAUUGAUUUGGAGAUGAUUUUAUAGACAGUGGUACAACAGGCAACAGGUCUAAAGUAUUUAGCAGUAGUAGGUGCUUUGACUUUGGGAACAAGUGCAAUAGCAGUGGCGUUGAUCAUGCGAGGCAUUUUGCAUGUGGAGAAGAAUUCCUUUGUAGCAGCUAGAAUAUCACCCUUCACUAUCUCCCAGUUUCUAGUAAAGAAUUCCACAGGAAAGCCAUCUACACCUGGUGCUUUGUCCUUUGGCAUCUCUUUUAGUGCUUCUGUGAUUUCUUCCAAUGUAACCUCCCGAAUUAGCAUUCUUUGCUGUGGUAGAGUUAGACACUUUCCUUCUUUAAUAAUAGCAGAGUUGACACAAGGCAGUUCAGCUGCACACUCCCCCAUCAAUGAUUGGAAAACCUUUAUAAACUCCUGCUCCACAGAUAAGGGGUCAGCGAGUUUCAGACCUGUAUCAGUGUAGAUACUGAUGUUAUUCUGGCAUGUUCUAAUCUUCCAUUGAGCAUGAAAAUAUUUUGUGUUGGCAUCACCACAAUCAAUCCAGCAAGCCUUUGAUUUCUGUCUCAAAAUUUGCUCCUCCACACAACUCCACUUCUCAAUCUCUUUAAGUGCUGUUUUUUCCACAGCAAAUAAUGACUGUGCUAGUGGACUAUGCUGCAGUUGAGUCUGAAUAAUACCCAGUGUCUCCCUAGCUGAAUAGGUUUCUGCUUAUAUGAGGCCAUAUGAACAUUUGUCUCCUUUAAGUGCUGUUUCAUAGUCUUCAAUUUAUUCCAUAUCUGCUGCAUAGGUUUUCCUUCACAUUCCUGUCCCCAGACCAGCUGUAGUAUAGUAUGAAACUGUGGAUUCUCCAUAAUAGCAAGGUAGAGUCUGAAAGGUUUAGGAUGUAGAGGUUUUUGAUUUCCAAAUUUGAUAAGAAUAGGGGAAUGAUCAGAAACUGAGGGAUUCAUGAAGUCAGCUUCCAGGUGCCCAUACUGUUGUAACCACUGAAAAUUGCCCAGAGCCCAAUCAAUUUUGCUAUCAAAUCUAGUAGAAGUAUUCUAGGUGCCCAUACUGCUGUAUCCACUGGAAAUUACCCAGAGCCCAAUCAAUCCUGCUAUAAACUCUAGUGGGAGUACCUUGCUUAUUAGUCCAAGUGAAGUGCCAGCCUUUAACUCUAAGAGGAGUGAGUUGAAGGUCAGCAAUAACAUCUUUAAGACCUCUAACUUCAGCAUCAGUAACAUGAGAACCAAUUCUGUCAUCAGUACAUAAGACAGAAUUAAAAUCCCCACUCAACAGCCAAGAAUCUUGACUGGGCACAUAUACUGUCCUUAAAUCACUCCACAGCUGAUCUCUAAGGUUUGCAAUAUUAUGAACAUAGAUGACACUUAAAUGAGUUCUGACUUGGCUAGUAGAAUCUUCUAAGAAGCAUUGAUGAGCUGAUCAGUCACACAGGAUAUUUGAAUCUGGAGAUGAGGCGAUCUCUAAGUCUUGCAGUAUUAUGAGCAUAGAUGACACUUAAAUGAGUUCUAAUUUGGCUUCUAGGGUCUUCUAAGAAACAUUGAAUGAGCUGGUCAGUCACACAUGAAAUUUGGAUCUGGAUGUGAGGUUUCCAAAUUAGCCAUAUUCUCCCAUUUACAGCUUUUGAGUAGUUGCAUUGAACCUUCCAACCCUUAGCAAUCUUAUCUAGAAUCUUCUUUGCUUUGUGUUCCUUUACUCUAGUCUCUAGACAUCCCAUAACAUCUACUUUAUUUACAGCAAGAAAGUUUUUCAACUCCUUAUGCUUAUGGGCUUGAUUAAGCCCCCUAAUGUUCCAAGUAACAAUAAUCAUAGGACAUUAGGGGAUAAGCUUUGAGAAGGCCCCGGAUCAAUCUGUUGACCCCUUCUACCAACAUCUAAUACAACAAUAACAGCCUUUCCUACUCUGAGAAGGCCCCAGAUCAAUAUGUUGACCCCUUCUACCAGCAUCUAAUACAACAAUAACAACCUUUCCUUUAUUGCAGUUAUCAACCAUAACUUCUCUGUUGUCCAAGAGCUAUUCGAGAUGGGGUACACAACCUUGGCAUCCAACCACUUGAUCACCUCAUUUUUCACAACUUCUAGCAUUGCCUCAUUCAACCUCUUUAGAUGUUACAAGAUUGGCUUUGCAUCAUAUUCCAGAAUAAUCUAGUGCAUACAAAAUGAGGGGCUUAUUACCUUAAUAUUAGCUAAGGUACAUCCAAUUGCCUUCUUCCGAUUUUGAAGCACUACCAAUAUGGCAUCAGCCUACAUGUUUGUAUGAUAAGAGGAACGAAUAACUGGCAAAGUAUCACUAGGGCCUAAGCACUCAUACCUGAGUUGUAGAGGUAGUGGUGUUAACUCCAACAUUGGAGGUUCCUCAAUUGAAGGUUUUGUUGGUGGAGUAUUCCUAUUCUCAAGGUCCAAAGAUAGAUUCCUAGGCUCACAAUAGUAAGAGCCCAUCGCAUGUAAAGCAUUCAGACACUCCACCCGGCCUUCAUCAUCAUUGACAUCAAGAUUGAACAAUACGGCCUCUAGAGAGUCCUCCACAUUGAUCAUUGCACUUGGAUCAUCAACUAUCAUUGCCGUGACAAGGUCCUCAAAAGAGCACACCUCAGAACUGUUGGGCUACUUUAUUGACUUGCAUACAUGAAAUACCACUUUCUCAUCACCCACCCGAAAAGUGAGUUCCCCUACUUCCACAUCAACUAAGGCCAUCCCAAUAGCAAGGAAAGGUCUUCCCAAUAUGAUCAAAACUUAAUAAUCUACCUCACAAUCCAAGAUCAAUAAAUUAGCUUUCAAGAUAAACUUGUCCACCCCGACAAGGACAUCAUCAAUAAUACCCAAUAGCCUCUUCAUAGUUCUAUCCGCCAUUUGCAAUCUCAUGGAAGUCGGCCUCGGUUGGCAAUACCAAAAGUCUUGAAUACUAAGUGGGGCAUCAAGUUGAUACUUGCCCCCAAAUCACAUAGAGCUUUAGCAAAGUCCGCACUCCUAAUGGUGUAAGGAAUGGUGAAAACACUGAGAUCUUCUAGCUUCGGGCCAUUGAAUGCACUAUUGCACUAACUCGUGGAUCAUCUUUAUAGUUUCACAAUCCAUGGAUCUUUUCUUUGUCACCAAAUCCUUCGUGGAUUUAGCAUUGUCCGACAUUUUUUCAAGAGCCUCCACCAAAGGCACAUUAAUGUAUAAGCUCUUCAUCAUAUCAAUAAACUUUUUAAACCGAAAUGGUGAAAGAAUCGGGAUCUUCUAACUUCGUGGCCAUUGAAUGCACUAUUGCACUAACUUGAUAUGUAAUCUUUAUAGUUUCACAAUCCAUGGAUCUUUUUAUAAUCACCAAUUCCUUCAUGAAUUUAGCAUAACCCAACAUUUGUUCAAGAGACUCCACCAAAGGUACAUUAAUGGAUAAGCUCUUUAUCAUAUCAAUAAACUUUUUAAACUGAUUCUCAUUUUUUUUUCGCGACCCUUUGAAGAUAAGUUGGACGUGUCCUUGGAAAGGGAGCCUUGGCUUUAGGCACAACCUGCUUCAGCAUGUCUAUUAAUAGUUCCCUAGACAGGUUCAAUUCAUUUUGAGUUUCCACCUCGGCAUAUUGAAUAUUAAUCCUCUCUUCUUCAUUCACAUUCUCAUCAAUCACAUUUUCAGCCACGAAAGGAAUUUCAUCUUCUUGCAACUCAACUUCAUUAUUCAAUAUUGCCUUUUGCUUGAAGGCAUUCACAUCACCGCCUCUCCCACUUCUUGUAGUUAUCACCAUAACAUGAUUGUUCCCGCCCUUCAUGUUAACUACAGUAUCACUUCUUAGAGCCUCCUUAAGACGAUUAUUCAAGGAUUGUAAGAUUUGGCCUAAUUAAACCUCCGAGUUUCUGAUUGAGGUAUUGUGAGAGUGCAACUGAGCAUCAGAGUCCGCAUUAUUUUUCAUCACCUGUUCAAAUAUCUUUUCAAUUCUCCCCAUAUCAUUGCUUGAAGAACUAGGACCUUGGGAUGAAAAUAUGGGUGGAUUGUUCAAUUGUUGAUACAUUGGGGGCCUUUGAAAGCCUUGCCCCUGGUUUUCUUGCUUGCCAUGUUCCAACCUCCCUGAUUGUUGUUACCACCCCAGUUGUUAUUGUUGCCAUUCCAAUUACCCCGAUUGUUCUGAUUGCCCCAAUGGAAUUUUUUUGUUAUUGUUCCCCUAGUUAUCAUUGCCUUGUUAUUGUUGAUUGUCCCAAUUGCCUUGGGGUCUCCAUUGUUGUUGGUUUGAAGAAUUGCCCCUUUGGCAUUGAUAAUUGUUCACGUAUUGCACUUCUUCAUUCUUCCCAUCAUAACCAUUAUCUUGGAACCCACCACAAUCAUUGCCAAAUUGAUCCAAACUCCCUUUGAUCUGUCGACCUCUUUGUCUUCUUUUAUUCACUAGCAUGUUGACACCCUCUAUGGCAUUCACUUGGCAAGGAUUCUGAACUUGAUGCAACUAUGCAUUUGUGAGCUGGUUCAUUGUAGUUGUCAGCUCUGCUAUAGCCUGCCUAUGAUCAUAUAGCUCUUUGUGCAAAUGAGUGGCCAUGGUGUCACCCUAGGGAACAUUGGCUCUACUUUUCCAAGUGGAGGAAGUGUCAGCCAUCUCGUCAAGAAUGUCACAAGGCUCAUUAUAGGUUAGUUUCAUAAAGUUUCCCCCAGCAAGAUAGUUCACUAUGCAGUGGUUUGUUGUGUUAAUGCCCUGGUACAAAUUCUGAUUGAUCAUUUCCUUAGUCAUAUCAUUGUCGGGGAAUUCCUUAACCAUUGUUCUAUAUCGCUCCCAAAUCUCAUGUAAUGGUUCGGUGGGCUCCUGCUUGAAAGAUAAGAUCUCAUCCCUCAAUUCUUCCAUGUGCCCCGGUGAGAAACUUUGUAAUGAACUUAUCCGCCAGCUCAUCCCAAGUAGUCAUAGAAUGGUUGGGAAGUCGCUCAAGCCAAUCCAUUGCCUUUUCUCUAAGUGAAAAACGGAAGAAUAUCAACUGAAGUGCAUCCUCGGACACAUUAGUUUGCUUGAUCCUCCAACCGGUAUCCACGAAACCUUUGAGAUAUUUUCAAGCAUUUUGAUUGGUAGUGCCCAUGAAAUGCCCAUACUGCUCCACCAAUGUCAGCAUCACAUCGGUAAUUUGAGAAUUGCCCUACUGGAUCCUUGGUGGGACAAUUGCACUUGCAUGGCCUUGGUUUGGAAUCACUCAUUGAGCCACUCUCUCAGGUGGGAGAGGAUGAUAUGGAAUGUCAUCAUUGGCAUUGGCAUGUGGCCUCUCCAUUGUCCUUAAGGUAUAAGAGGCACCUCACCAUCUCCGUUAUCAUCUACCUUCUCCCCCACAAUCACAUUUCCAUGAGGGUCAUUGUUGUUUUCUACCAUUUUUGUACCUGAAGUUGGGACACACAAAAUAAUAAUGCAGAAGGAAAGAAGAACAAUACACACAAUUAUUUAGAUAGAUAUCCAAAACCGUUAGCUCUCUGGCAAUGAUGCCAAAAAGUGAUUGAGGCCAACCUUGCACUACUAAAAAGUAGCAAGAGUGGUCGAAGCAGCUUUUACCCAAGAAGGUCAGGUUUGAUUUCCACACGGAGCUAGAGAUGGGAAUUUAGUUUCUAUCUAAAUUGGAGUUGCAUAUUUGUUCCUAAUUACACUUCUAAACAUAGUUGGUUUUGAUGUUACUUCUAAUUUAAUACUAAUCAGAUGUUAAAUUUAGCUAAGUUAAGCUAAGAUUAAACUACUGAAGGUUGUCUAAAUAGUUAAAAGGCACUAGGAAAGUGACUUUCUCGUAGGUGAAUACUUGACGGGUUCAUGAGUCUAAGGCUAGGUUGUCAUAAUUAGGGAUUAUGAUAUAACCAUUGUACGAUACUUCUCACUCUAUAACUCUCGGUAGUUUGAGUGAUUUUGCCUAAAUUGACUUUGUCAAGACCAAUUGUGUAUGAUAAUUUGUGCAAGCAAUUAAGGUUCGAGUCAUGUAUUAGUAUCUCUAGGUUUACCGCUUAAAUUGGGGCUAUGAAUCUCUUGAGUACGCCCCAAUUCCUUGUCGGACUAAUUUCAGUAGACUUCUUUCUCAAGAAGAGCCCAAGUCAAAUUAGAAUAAACUAGUGUUUGCAACCACUAAUUCAACAUUAAAAUUAUAAAUUAACCCAAAUAUCAACCACCCAUAGCCAUUCAAGCCUUAAAACACAAGACCCAUCAAUUACCCACACUAGAGUUGAGCUAGAACUGUAGCUAAUAGGUCUAGCUACUCAUGAUAAUGGAUGAAAACAAAGAAAUAGAUGAAGAAAAAUCCAUUGCAUUUAAUUACUAACUAAAACUUAAAGAUUCAAUGAUAAAGCUAUAGCAAAAUUGCACAAAAUAGUAAAGGGACACUGUUCACGAGCGCAGCUCUGCAUGAAACUAUAACUGAUGACCUAUAUAUAGGAAAAGAAACUAUUUAUAGUAGGCAAAAUUUUCUGGACAAAAAUAGCGCUGUGGGGUAAGUGCGGACUACACAAAAUCGAG